UACAGAGGGUGCAAGCGUUAAUCGGAAUUACUGGGCGUAAAGCGUGCGUAGGCGGUUAUUUAAGUCAGGUGUGAAAGCCCCGGGCUCAACCUGGGAAUUGCAUUUGAGACUGAAUAGCUAGGGUGCGGAAGAGGGAAGCGGAAUUUCCGGUGUAGCGGUGAAAUGCGUAGAUAUCGGAAGGAACACCAGUGGCGAAAGCGGCUUCCUGGUCCAGCACCGACGUUCAGGCACGAAAGCGUGGGGAGCAACCAGG
RNAcentral lists this ribosomal RNA (253 nucleotides) under uncultured bacterium. RNAcentral's name for it is "partial 16S ribosomal RNA". It matches the Rfam family "Bacterial small subunit ribosomal RNA", at positions 524 to 776 of the family's 1533-position model. The record is from RNAcentral.